CUGGUGCAAAAAAAUUUCUGACUAUAAUUAAUUUCAGAUUCCCAUACAAGGCUAAACUAACCCUACUGGGCUAUCAAGCUUAAACAUGUA
Long non-coding RNA from Aricia agestis (brown argus), 90 nucleotides. RefSeq lists it as uncharacterized. Lineage: Eukaryota; Metazoa; Arthropoda; Insecta; Lepidoptera; Lycaenidae. The record is from RefSeq and is a predicted model, not a curated record. The transcript is spliced from 3 exons.